This is a long non-coding RNA of Patiria miniata (bat star), 1608 nucleotides long. RefSeq lists it as uncharacterized. The record is from RefSeq and is a predicted model, not a curated record. The transcript has 2 exons. Lineage: Eukaryota; Metazoa; Echinodermata; Asteroidea; Valvatida; Asterinidae.
ACCAGGGAAUGUGCUCACCAACCAGUCUCACGUGAUUCGUUGCGCGUUCGUAAAUUGGCGGGGCACGUAUGGUGGAGGACUUCGAGAGAACGUCACAACAGUCAAAGUGGUUAUCAUGACAGUCAGACUCAGAGCCAAUGAAGUGGAUGCUGUCAAGAAUGCUUAUGGGAACCACACAAAGCUGAUCUUCAACUGAAGGAAUGCCCAACUUUCAAAGUCCUUGCCAUUCGGUUUGUCAUGGUUAAACUCUGUUCAUUGAACUAAUAUGCUCCAGAACAAAGCUCCAGUAAAGUCUAUAGGGCCAACUUCUUGGGGCAUGGAAAUAAUCUUAUGAGUUAUGUAGUAAAACUGAAAUCUGAAAUGAGUGAUUUGAUUCCAAAUACAUUCCAAAUACAUUAACAAAUGUUUAAAUCUUCGUGAUGUUUAGACCCCGAGCACGUAGAUGCUUGGAACUAAUUAAGUUCAAUUUUAAAAUAACUUGAAAAAAAGUUGCACAGUAAACCUAACCUUAACAUUAGGUUAGUGCUCAUAAAAGUAAAUUUAAACUUCAAAUAUGUAUAACUAUGUUUAAUUCACUUUAAUAAAUAAAUCAAUAUUUGUUUAGAUUUAAGAAUGUUCAGUGCCUAAAACUAUUAAAGUCUUCCACUUGAUUUUAAGUUAAUUUAGAAAGCAUCAGCAGAACCAUAAAUGUAACCGUGAAACCUAAGGGCAAAGCUCAUAAAAGUCAAAUUUAGCUUUAGAUGUGAGGCAGCUCACUUGGGAUGGCAAUCCAGUUUUGACUACAAUGUGGUAGCAUUCAAGUGUGCCAAAGUCAUUUUUGUUUCAACUAUUCUGUGUAAAACUGUGGACCCUUGCAGCAUUUGUUAGGUCAUUCAAUCAUCUGCAUGCAUCCAUUGACAGACAGUCAUAUUAACCACUGGCACUGACAACAUAAACCACCUAAUUAACCACUAACCAGACCUGUCCAAAUGUUGUAAGGACUGGGCAAAUAUUCCACGCUUCUUGGGAACUUGAGUUCACUUGCGCAUUUUCUUCUUAGUUUUUCAAAGCUGGAUUGCCAGUAAAAGCAGUUCUUAGCAUAAAUUUUUUACACAAUUUAUUGAAAAGCAAACAAUUCAAGUCAACUUUUACAUUUGGCUGAAAUAAUGAGCACAAACAAGAAAGGAAAUGGAAAUGCUUUAAACAAAUUUUUUUCAGAGCAUAAUCUAAAAAAAAAGACAAUCUUCAGAAAACAAUCUUAAUGUUAAAAAUGGACUAAAAAAUCAAAUGAAAUUAAUUAAUAUUCUGUAUGAACAUGAUAUAAAUGAUAAAUAGCCAAACAAUAAAGGAUGUUCAAUCUUACAAUGCAAUUUAAAAACUUCAUUCAUAAAAAGAAAUAUAUGAAAGUAUAGGGCAUAAACCUGAAACACUUUUAUUUUAAAAUUAUAGUUACAAACAAGAUAACUCACAUUUCAUGUUUGCCAUAACCACAUGAUUUAAAAAUUUAGGUAAACCGUGAAGGACAUUUACUCAAGUUGGGCCUUUGACAUACUUGGGACAAUGUACAUACGGAGCAGUAAAAUGUGAGAGUCAUUUUGGAGAAACUCUGAAAAUCACCUCCAAUUAUAA